CCGAAAGCCGCUGCCAUUGGCCCAACGGCUUCCCCGUCCCGCCCUCCUCCUCUUCCUUUCCUACCUCUGGAGAAACUUCCUUCUUUUUCCCCACCCCUAAAUUGUUCCCCCUUUGAAGCUCUUUUACUUCUAUUUUACUGCAUUUUUUGUCCACCAGCCCUGUUCUGAAAUUCUAUUGCCCAGUUCCUUUCCCCCUGACUUUUAGUACCCAUUACUGCUCAGACUACUGGCUGUUGAUGAUGCAGUUUUUAUGUUAUUGUCUUCUUGCAAUGUCAUUGAUUUUUUUGAGAUAUAUUUUGAUCUACAGUAUGUUUGGUUUUAAUCUUUGUUGGAUCUUAUCCAUUACUGCUCAGACUACUGGCUGUUGAUGAUGCAGUUUUUAUGUUAUUGUCUUCUUGCAAUGUCAUUGAUUUUUUUGAGAUAUGUUUUGAUCUACAGUAUGUUUGGUUUUAAACUUUGUUGGAUCUUAUCCAUUACUGCUCAGACUACUGGCUGUUGAUGAUGCUGUUUUUAUGUAUUGUCUUCUUGCAUUGUCAUUGAUUUUAUUGAGAUAUGUUUUGAUCUACAGUAUGUUUGGUUUUAAUCUUUGUUGGAUCUUAUCCAUUACUGCUCAGACUACUGGCUGUUGAUGAUGCUGUUUUUAUGAAUGGUCUUCUUGCAUUGUCAUUGAUUUUAUUGAGAUACGUAUGUUUUGAUCUACAGUAUGUUUAGUUUUAAUCUUUGUUGGAGCUUAUCCAUUACUGCUCAGACUACUGGCUGUUGAUGAUGCUGUUUUUAUGUUACAGUAGUCUCACUUAUCCAACGUUCUGGAUUAUCCAACGCAUUUUUGUAGUCAAUGUUUUCAAUGCAUUGUGAUAUUAUGGUGCUAAAUUCGUAAAUACAGUAAUUACUACAUAGCAUUACUGCGUAUAGAACUACUUUUUCUGCCAAAUUUGUUGUCUAACAUGAUGUUUUGGUGCUUCAUUUGUAAAAUCAUAACCUAAUUUGAUGUUUAAUAGGCUUUUCCUUAAUGCCUCCUUAUUAUCCAACAUAUUCGCUUAUCCAACAUUCUGCCGGGCCGUUUAUGUUGGAUAAGUGAGACUCUACUGUAUGUUUUGAUCUACGGUAUGUUUGGUUUUAAUCUUUGUUGGAGCUUAUCCAUUACUGCUCAGACUACUGGCUGUUGAUGAUGCUGUUUUUAUGUUACAGUAGUCUCACUUAUCCAACGUUCUGGAUUAUCCAACGCAUUUUUGUAGUCAAUGUUUUCAAUGCAUUGUGAUAUUAUGGUACUAAAUUCGUAAAUACAGUAAUUGCUACAUAGCAUUACUGCGUAUAGAACUACUUUUUCUGCCAAAUUUGUUGUCUAACAUGAUGUUUUGGUGCUUCAUUUGUAAAAUCAUAACCUGUUUUGAUGUUUAAUAGGCUUUUUCUUAAUCUCUCCUUAUUAUUCAACAUAUUUACUUAUUCAACAUUCUGCCGGCUCGUUUAUGUUGGACAAGUGAGACUCUGUAUUGUCUUCUUAAAUUCCAUCCACAGAAUUGCCUCCCAACUUGCAGUUAUACUGGGCAUGUGCUACGGAAUGCAACCCUGCUGACCUUUUGUACCAGGCAGUUUAUAAGUUUGAAACAUAAAGUUUAUUUGUCUCUUGCUCUUCAGGAAGCAGGCAACUGAGGCCAAAUACAAUAAGCAAUUUUAGUAAUGGUGUUGAGACUGACCCCACUACUGUGGAAACCAGAAGAGCUGAAUGCUAAGGACUACACCUGCCAUGCCAGUCCAAAUUAUAACUUGGGUGAUUCAACCAAGAUUGUGAAGAUAUUGUAGCAAGCAAUGGACUCUUUUGACAGUGCUACUACUGAACAUACUAGAAAAAAGAGGAAUGACAUUGAGGUUCCUGUGGAUCAUGUUUACUUUCCAUGAUUUAUGGUGUGGGGAGCCUAUAGUGGAAGGAAUGGUAUAUAGACUGAAAACUACAGUAACAGGACAUCCAGCAGAUGGGAGAAAUUCUUUGCCAUGAAGAAUCCCUUAAAGUGCUGUAAAAGAUGUAUUGAAGAGGUGGAGGGAAUCAAAAUUUUGCAUGCCAAAAGGAAGUUUUUCUAUGCCUAGUUUUUAAAGUAAAUAAAAGUGCUAGCUUACCUGCUUACAGCUGGAGACAUGUGUUUAAUCCCUUAUACAAUAUUAGCUGUGCCCAGCUGUGGCUUAUUGGGAUCCUUUGUUGACUAAGUGGAAUAGUAGUGAAUAGCCUUGCAGCCUCAAAGCCUGGCUGUUUUCUUCUUAUGGGAAUCCUUGUUUGGUGAGCUGGAAUACAAUGGAAUAGGUGUGCUGCUUGAAGGGCUGGGUAGCUGCGUUCUAGGGGAAUGGUUUUUUGGGCUGCUAGAACUGCAAUGAAUGGCUUCACUACUUCAAACCUGGCUGCUUGCUACCUAGGAGAAUCUUUGGUUGGUCAGCUUCAAUAGUACAGAGUAGUAUCGCUGCUUCAAAGCCUGGCCAUCUUCUACCAAGGUUAAUCCUUUGUUGGUCUGGUUGAAUUGCACUGAAUAGCCUUGCAACUUCAAUGCCUGGCUGUGUUAUACCUAGGGGAAUCCUUGUUUGGCGAGCUGAAGUAGCACUCUCAAUCAAAGAGCUGCUUUGAAGCUUGGCUACUUCCUUUGUAGGGGAGCUUGAAUUGCACUGAAUAGUCUUGCAGCUUAAAAGCCUGGCCGCUUUCUACAUAGGGCAUCCUUGCUAGGCCAGAUUGAAUGGGACGGAGUAGCCUCGUGGCUUCAAAGCCUGGGGUUUUCUAUCUAGGGGAAAUUUUGGUUGUCCAGGUUGAAUAGCAGUGACUAGUCUUGCUGCUUGCAUGCCUGGCCGUUUUCUACCUUGUGAAAUCCUUCGUUGGCCAGGUUGCAUAACAAUGAAUAGUCUCGGUGCAGUAAGUAUGAAUGCUCCAAUUAGUCACCCUUGAUUAGCAUUUAAUGGCCUUACAGCUUCAAAGCCUGGCUGCUUCCUCCUGGGGGAAUUCUUUGUUGAAAGGUGUUAGCUGGCUCUGGUUGUUUCCUUUCUGGAAUGUCCCAGUUUUCAUAGUGUUGCUCUUUAUUUACUGUUUAUUUAAUUGAUUUUUUUAAAUUGGUGCAGUCUGAUGAUGUGGGAGAGGUUCUCCAGUACCUCUCAGCAGCUUUCGAUACCAUCAGCCAUGGCAUCCUCCUAGACCGCCACUCAGCAGUGGGAUUAGGGAGUAUUAUUUUGCAGUAGCUCCACUCAUUCCUGGAGGGUCGGGUUAAGAAGGUGGUGCUGGGGGACUCCUGCAUGAGCCCAUGGCCUUCAUCCUGCGCUUUUGAAAUACAUCAGAAUGGCCCCCUCCCUACUAACUUUCAAGCAUCAGAUAAAAACUUUUAUCUGGAAUCAGGUCUUUAAUGAAGAUUAAUACAAGAGCAAUAGGCACCAUAGUAACAUCUGGACAAGUGGCAAUGGGAAGGAUAAUGGCUUUGAUUUAUGUUUAUUUAGUUUUUAUCUAUUUAUCUAUUUAUUUGUUUUAUUUAGUUUUUAUCUAUACCUAAAGUGCUGGUUGUAUUUGAAUUUGUAAUGCCUUUUAUUACGGUUUAAUUAUCUUAUUACAGUAGAGUCUCACUUAUCCAACACUCGCUUAUCCAACGUUCUGGAUUAUCCAACAUAUUUUUGUAGUCAAUGUUUUCAAUACAUCAUGAUAUUUUGGUGCUAAAUUCGUAAAUACAGUAAUUACUACAUAGCAUUACUGCAUAUUGAACUACUUUUUCUGUCAAAUUUGUUGUCUAACAUGAUGUUUUGGUGCUUAAUUUGUAAAAUCAUAACCUAACUUGAUGUUUAAUAGGCUUUUCCUUAAUUUCUCCUUAUUAUCCAACAUAUUCGCUUAUCCAACGUUCUGCCGGCCCGUUUACGUUGGAUAAGCGAGACUCUACUGUAUGUUUUAAUUGUUAUUAUUGACUAUGUCUAUCUCCUUUUUGUCGUAAUGUAUCUAUAUGUUUUAUACCUUGUUGUUAGCCACUUUGAAUCCCUGAUGGGAGAGAAAAGAGGGAUACACAUGAAUAAAUAAUAAAUAAUAGUAAUCAUCAUCAUCUCAUAUGAAAACUUCACAGUACAAAAAUCUGGUCAACAGUUUGUCAGCAUUUAGUUAAGGAAUAAAUGAUAGUGGAUCACAGGAAGUUCUUAACAUUGAAAUAUUUUAUAUCAGCCAUAUUAGUCACACUCAAUACAAGUAAAUGUUUAUCCAGAUUUCUUUUUUUUAAUUUUUAAUGAAAACAUUUAACAAAAGUGUGAAACAUAUAUACAACUACUUAUGGGGGAGUGACAAGUGUCCAAGGGGGGGGGACACAAAACAAACAAACAAAAAAUAAUAAUUUAAAAAAAGAAGAGAGAGAACACACCAAAAAUUACACAUACAUACUCAAUAUAAUUACAUAAAAUUAAUUUACUUCUUUUGUGUGAUGCUUUGUGUAUUAUCCUUUUAGUGCACUUAUAUCUCUUGUCUUGUUUAUCUUUUAAUAUUAUUUCUUCUCCAUUUUAUUACUUGAUCUGAGACAAUCCAUAGGUCAUUAUACUAUCAUUUUGCAAUUUUCAUUUUUUAAGUAGUUUUUAAUUAAUUCCCAAUCUGUUUGUUUCCUUGGCUUGCCUUGGGUGUUUGAUAAUAAAUAUGUUAAUUUA
Molecule: long non-coding RNA, 4632 nt
Organism: Anolis carolinensis (green anole)
Lineage: Eukaryota; Metazoa; Chordata; Lepidosauria; Squamata; Anolidae
Exons: 2
Source: RefSeq, a predicted model, not a curated record